This 439-nucleotide ribosomal RNA is filed under the name uncultured bacterium. RNAcentral describes it as "bacterial SSU rRNA". It matches the Rfam family "Bacterial small subunit ribosomal RNA", at positions 335 to 776 of the family's 1533-position model. The record is from RNAcentral.
ACUCCUACGGGAGGCAGCAGUGAGGAAUAUUGGUCAAUGGGCGCAAGCCUGAACCAGCCAUGUCGCGUGCAGGAAGACUGCCCUAUGGGUUGUAAACUGCUUUUAUAUGGGAAGAAUGUGAGCUACGAGUAGCUUUUGCCGGUACCAUAUGAAUAAGCAUCGGCUAACUCCGUGCCAGCAGCCGCGGUAAUACGGAGGAUGCAAGCGUUAUCCGGAUUCAUUGGGUUUAAAGGUGCGUAGGCGGAAUAGUAAGUCAGGGGUGAAAGUUUGCGGCUCAACCGUAAAUUGCCUUUGAUACUGUUAUUCUUGAGUACAUUUGAGGUAGCGGAAUGUGUUGUGUAGCGGUGAAAUGCUUAGAUAUAACACAGAACACCGAUUGCGAAGGCAGCUUACUAAACUGUAACUGACGCUGAUGCACGAAAGCGUGGGAUCGAACAGG